Long non-coding RNA from Vitis riparia (riverbank grape), 593 nucleotides. RefSeq lists it as uncharacterized. The transcript is spliced from 4 exons. The record is from RefSeq and is a predicted model, not a curated record. NCBI's taxonomy places the organism in Eukaryota, Viridiplantae, Streptophyta, Magnoliopsida, Vitales, Vitaceae.
UAGAUGCUUUGAUGCCAACUUGCUAGAGAUUCCAGUUGAAAUCGAGAGCCCCGAUCACCACUAUUAUCAUCUUGCUUUUUUCACUAAAAGGAAAGUAGAUGCUUUGGAAGAGCUGACUUGGGAUUAUGCAAUUGACUUUGCUGAUGAAAAUCAUCCCAUUAAAGCAUUUCAAUGUUGCUGUGGAAGUGAAUUCUGCCGAGACAUGAAUGGGAAAGGAAUUAAAGCUUCUGACUCAGAGAACUCAGCUAAAGCUUCUGCCAUAAACAACUCCAUCAAGGGUGUUGUGAAAUCUCGAUGAAACUCUGCUGGGGUAGCAAAACUAACCACAAACACAUGUCACAGGGCUUGGAAUUGAAUACAAACACGAUAUUCGACAUUCGGAGCACAAAAUAUUUGCAGUUUCCCAUGAACAUCAGGGCCGAUCUUUCUAGAAAAAGGAAGUACAGAACAAAAAUAAGGGGAUUCUGAAGUUGCAGGAUGACUGUUUUCACUAUAUGCUACACUGGUACUGUUGACAUUCUGAAGUUGGCCAACAAUUUUAAAGACCCGAGUUUUAGAAAGGAAACAAAAUUCCUUAGUAGAACCUUUACUCA